RNAcentral lists this transfer RNA (83 nucleotides) under Fidelibacterota bacterium. RNAcentral's name for it is "tRNA-Leu". It matches the Rfam family "tRNA". Rfam says of the family: Transfer RNA (tRNA) molecules are approximately 80 nucleotides in length. RNAcentral also lists the same sequence under 1 other name. The record is from RNAcentral. Lineage: Bacteria; Pseudomonadati; Fidelibacterota.
GCCGCGGUGGCGGAACUGGCAGACGCGCUGGACUUAGGAUCCAGUGGCUUCGUGCCGUGCGAGUUCGACUCUCGCCCGCGGCA